This 425-nucleotide ribosomal RNA is filed under the name uncultured bacterium. RNAcentral's name for it is "partial 16S ribosomal RNA". It matches the Rfam family "Bacterial small subunit ribosomal RNA", at positions 354 to 796 of the family's 1533-position model. The record is from RNAcentral.
GUGGGGAAUAUUGGACAAUGGGCGAAAGCCUGAUCCAGCAAUGCCGCGUGAGUGAAGAAGGCCUUCGGGUUGUAAAGCUCUUUUACCCGGGAAGAUAAUGACUGUACCGGGAGAAUAAGCCACGGCUAACUCCGUGCCAGCAGCCGCGGUAAUACGGAGGGGGCUAGCGUUGUUCGGACUUACUGUGCGUAAAGCGCACGUAGGCGGUCUUUUAAGUCAGAGGUGAAAGCCCGGGGCUCAACUCCGGAAUUGCCUUUGAAACUGGAAGGCUUGAACAAGGUAGAGGUGAGUGGAAAUCCGGGUGUAGAGGUGAAAUUCGUAGAUAUUCGGAGGAACACCAGUGGCGAAGGCGGCUCACUGGACCGUUGUUGACGCUGAGGUGCGAAAGCGUGGGGAGCGAACAGGAUUAGAAACCCCAGUAGUCC